AAACCACGUUAAAGGAACUCGGCAAAAUGCCUCCGUAAGUUCGCGAGAAGGAGGCCCCAUAUGUACGCAAGUAUGUGUGGGGGGCACAAACUAGGGGGUGGCGACUGUUUACUUAAAACACAGGGCUGUGCGAAGCCGUAAGGCGACGUAUACAGUCUGACGCCUGCCCGGUGCUGGAAGAUUAAGAGGAGGGGUGCAAGCUCUGAAUUGAAGUCCCAGUAAACGGCGGCCGUAACGAUAACGGUCCUAAGGUAGCGAAAUUCCUUGUCGGGUAAGUUCCGACCUGCACGAAUGGCGUAACGAUCUCCCCGCUGUCUCUAACGUGGACUCAGCGAAAUUGAACUGUGUGUCAAGAUGCACACUACCCGCGGUUAGACGGAAAGACCCCAUGAACCUUUACUCCAGCUUUGCACUGGUAUCAGGAUUGUGAUGUGCAGGAUAGGUGGUAGGCAUUGAAGCGGGGACGCCAGUCUUCGUGGAGCCUCCCUUGAGAUGCCACCCUUCGCCAUCUUGAUAUCUAACCGCGGCCCGUUAUCCGGGUCCGGGACCCUGCAUGGUGGGGAGUUUGACUGGGGCGGUCGCCUCCCAAAACAGUAACGGAGGCGCGCGAUGGUUGGCUCAGACCGGUCGGAAAUCGGUCGUUGAGUGCAAUGGCAGAAGCCAGCCUGACUGCAAGACUGACAAGUCGAGCAGAGACGAAAGUCGGUCAUAGUGAUCCGGUGGUCCCAAGUGGGAGGGCCAUCGCUCAACGGAUAAAAGGUACUCUGGGGAUAACAGGCUGAUGAUGCCCAAGAGUCCAUAUCGACGGCAUCGUUUGGCACCUCGAUGUCGGCUCAUCUCAUCCUGGGGCUGGAGCAGGUCCCAAGGGUAUGGCUGUUCGCCAUUUAAAGAGGUACGUGAGCUGGGUUUAGAACGUCGUGAGACAGUUCGGUCCCUAUCUGCCGUGGGUGCAGGAGACUUGAGAAGAGUUGACCCUAGUACGAGAGGACCGGGUUGAACGAACCACUGGUGGACCAGUUAUCGUGCCAACGGUAGUGCUGGGUAGCUAUGUUCGGACAGGAUAACCGCUGAAGGCAUCUAAGCGGGAAGCCCCCUUCAAAACAAGGUCUCCCUUGAGGGCCGUGGAAGACGACCACGUCGAUAGGCCAGAGGUGUAAGUGCAGCAAUGCAUUCAGCUGACUGGUACUAAUUGCCCUAAAAAC
This 1202-nucleotide ribosomal RNA is filed under the name metagenome. Its description in RNAcentral is "bacterial LSU rRNA". It matches the Rfam family "Bacterial large subunit ribosomal RNA", at positions 1696 to 2925 of the family's 2925-position model. The record is from RNAcentral.